This 3282-nucleotide ribosomal RNA is filed under the name Triticum aestivum (bread wheat). RNAcentral's name for it is "partial small subunit ribosomal RNA". Lineage: Eukaryota; Viridiplantae; Streptophyta; Magnoliopsida; Poales; Poaceae. The record is from RNAcentral.
AUGGAGGGAGAGUGGACAAGAAUGCAUCGCUUCCCAAGUGCCUGCAAGUUUUGUGAAUUAUUGAUUUCUGCACUUAUUUUUUCCACCUACUGGAGCCACACGUGUUCAGGUCCUCGCUAUCCUCGCCAAUGUUUCGUAUAUGAAGGGGAUAAUCCUGGUUCUUUGGCAACUAGAGAAGCAAGCUGGACAAACUUUUGGCCAUUCAAAAACUCGAUGAUCAUGACAUCGGAAAUCCCUGCCUACCAAACAGUGUUUUAUAUGGAGGGGUUGUGGCUGGAGAGGGAUUUGAGUUGCCAGGUUCCUCUUCCUCCCCCGCACGCUGCAGCUCCGUGCCUAGUUUUCCCGUCGCCGGCCACCUCCUCCCCCGUCGCCGGCCACCUUCUUCCCGCCCGGCUGCGACCUGGCAGCGCCCCGGUCGUGCUCUACCCGCCCUGGCCGCGCCCCGGCCAAUCUCUCCCUGCCCAGCUGCGUCUCGCCCACGCCCCGGGCUUCGCAUCUGGCUGGCUGCGUCCCGCCUGCGCCCCGGGCUCCGCAUCCGGCUGGCUGCUGUUGGCCGCGCCUCGCGCCCAGCCUCUGCAUCUGGCUGGCUGCUGCUGGUCGCGCCCCGUGCCCAGGCAACGCAUCUGGCUGGCUGCUGCUGGCUCCUCUGCUGCCGCAGGAGCAGCCCAGGGCCGGCCCUCCUCGUGGCUUCCCGCUUCCUCCCGAUUCCCCACUCGGGGCUGCAUCGGGCUAGCGAGAAAACAGAGUUCUCUCAUGUCUUCUUCGGGCUAUGUUGCUAUACCUCGGUGCUCAGUGAUCUUCGAUGGCACCAACUAUGCUGAGUUUGUGGGAUUCAUGCGCAUCCAUAUGCGUGGUCUUCUUCUCUGGGGUGUUCUUUCUGGUGAGGUUCCCUGCCCGCCAUGCCCUGUCGCGCCUGUGGCCCCAAUCCCACCGGUGCCGCCGGUACUUGCUCCUGAGGCUUCCCAGGCUGACCGGGAUGCCGCCAAGGCCAUUGAUGAUGUUGCAGUUGAUGCCUACGAUCAGCAGGUAUCUUCUUACUCCGAUGCUCUUUCGGCGUACCGGGAUGAUCUAUCUGCUUACACUCAGUGGUGCAAUGAUGAUGCUCGUGCUGCUGCUGUUCUUACUGCCAGUGUCCUCCCUCAGUUUGCUUCGGAGUUCAUGGGACUUGGCACAGUUGCAGCAAUGUGGUCUUACCUUUGUCAGCGCUAUCAGCCCUCUGGUGAUGCUCUCUAUCUCUCUGUGGUGCGUCAGGAGCACGCCCUCCAGCAAGGUGAUUCCUCUGUUGAUGAGUUCUACUCACAGUGCUCUGCCAUCUGGCGUCAGCUUGACUCUCUUCGAACAGUUGUUUGUGGCACCUGUCGUUGCUGUCAGACUACUCGGUCUGAUCUGGAGUUUCAGCGGGUCCAUGAGUUCUUAUCUCGUCUCCGCUCUGAGUUUGAGCCCAGACGUGCUCACUUGCUUGCUCGUGGUCGUGUUCCAAUCUCGGGGAUGCUUGCUGAGCUUCGUGCUGAGGUGACCCGCCUUCGUUCUGCUGGUUUGCUGGUGGUCCCGUCUGUGUUGGCUGCUCAGGCUCCUGUGUCGUCUGCUCGGCUCACCGCUCCACCACUCCUCCCCACACCUUCAGGGGGCACCUCUCAUUCCUUCUCCUUCACCACCUACCCCAUCUUCUCCAUCCUUGUCCUCCACCUCUCCACCAUCAUCUCCCAAGUCUCCCCUGACGCGCCUUCCACCUCUGGUGCACCUCUCCUCACGCCUCCCCCGGUUCACAACCUCCGGGCUCGGCCUCGCCCCCCGCCUGAUCGCUACUCCCUUGAUCGAUUUCUGAUGUUUGGUUAUGAAGUCUUUACACCUGUUGAUGCAAGUUUGCAUUACUUUGGUAGGUUUUUUGACCUCUUUCCAUUGUCUUUCCUUAGCAAUUUCGCAAGGUUGUCCUUUUUGUAUGUCUGCGGAGCCUGGCACAUCUCCAUGUUUCUAACAUUCCUUGAAAGUGGCAGACCUAGAAAUUGUGGUUUGCUGAGGCAACAGAUGACGAUAAAGAUCAAUUGCCCUAUGUUUGUUAAUGGACUGAGCCCUAUGGAAGCCGUCCCACAACCCCAAAAUAUAGUUGAGUAUUCUGUACGACUUAAGUUCAGUUCAUUUAAAUCCCUAGCCUUUGGCGCGAAGCAACCCUGGCCGUCCAUCGCCCAUCCGACGCUCCAUCUCCGCUCGUACCGCUUCGCGAACUCCUCUAGGUCUGACAAGUGGUUUGGGCGCGGGAAAAGGUUGCAGAAACACAUUGUUUCUGCGGUAAAAUCCCUCCCUCCCUCCCAGAUCCGGUGUACUUCCGGCGGCGCGGCGUUGGCGGCGGUGCAGGCGGCGGUAGGAUCGAAGGCCAAGGUCGGGUUGCAGCCCCAGCUGUGUCUUCGUGCUAGCAUGACAGGCCCUGAAAAUUCCUCCUCCACGGAGAACUUGGAGUUCCAAUCAUUGCAACUGGAUGUCAAAACCCUGCAGCGAAACAGGGAAACUGACAGACAAGACUUCGAAGAUUUCAGAGACCAUGUUGCCACCAAUUUUCAAACCUUGCAGAAAACCUUGGGCGAACUACAGGGCCCUUUGAACAGCUUCAUUGCACGUUUUCCCAAACCCAGGGAAACUCCUCCCAACCCUCAAGAUGUGGCACAGGGUAGUGGACAACAGCAAACUCCCCAAGGUCCAAAUCAUGCACCAGCCACGGUCCUCCAGACUCCUCCUACUGUUGGAUCUGCCACGUUAGUGGACAAGAACACUGGAAAAGAGCUUAACUUGGAUGGCAGCAACCGAGUCCCUUAUAGGCACCCUCACUUUGCUGCAAGUAAACACCCAAUUCCUGAAAACAGAGUUCACACUGCUGUUAACCAAGUGCAGAAUGGUCAACAGGUGGUUCAGCUGGACAUGGAGCAAGCUGAACAAAUCCCACAACAGGAAGCUAGGGCCUUUGGCGUGAAGCAACCCUGGCCGUCCAUCGCCCAUCCGACGCUCCAUCUCCGCUCGUACCGCUUCGCGAUUCGAGUGAAAUUCUCCCCUGUUUCUCUGAAUAUUGUUCUUCAGACUCCUCUGGGUCUGACAUACCAGGGCAUCUUGUGCGUCACCGUGCGAUGGAGCUGCUGGCAUUAUGACAGGAAACCACUAUUAGCAUCUGAGAGAGCAACAUUCAUGGCAUUAGCCUUCUGUAGAUGGGUGAAAAAUAGAACUUACUUGAUGUUGCCUGAUUGCUCAAUGGAGCUGUCUUGUGGCCGCUGGAGGAAGACAACUCCAAAGUGCUAA